CGUGUAGGCGGUUUAAUAAGUCAGAUGUUAAAGCCCCCGGCUUAACCGGGGAUGGUCAUUUGAAACUGUUAGGCUUGAGUGCGAGAGAGGGUAGUGGAAUUCCCAGUGUAGCGGUGAAAUGCGUAGAUAUUGGGAAGAACACCAGUAGCGAAGGCGGCUACCUGGCUCGCAACUGACGCUAAUGCGCGAAAGCGUGGGGAGCAAACA
This 207-nucleotide ribosomal RNA is filed under the name uncultured bacterium. Its description in RNAcentral is "partial 16S ribosomal RNA". It matches the Rfam family "Bacterial small subunit ribosomal RNA", at positions 568 to 774 of the family's 1533-position model. The record is from RNAcentral.